This is an RNA transcript of Quercus lobata, 3080 nucleotides long. It is a transcript of the gene named TMV resistance protein N-like, with no coding region annotated. The transcript is spliced from 6 exons. Lineage: Eukaryota; Viridiplantae; Streptophyta; Magnoliopsida; Fagales; Fagaceae. The record is from RefSeq and is a predicted model, not a curated record.
UUGCCUUUGUUGACUAGGUCUGUUCUUUGUUUGGUCUUGCUGAUGAGCGAUGAUUUGACUUAAUAAAUAACAGGCCGUGAAAUUGUGGAUGAAUUCCUCCGAUCUGCUAUUCCUCUAUCCUUUUUGUCCCUCUCUAAUACACGGAGAAAGAACACUAUUUUACUAUCCAUUCAUUUGCUAAAAAGCAAUUACUAUUUAAUCGGAACUGAACCCGGCGUUGUUUCAGGACAUCAAGGUUUUCGAUCUUAUAUUUCCAACGGAAUCCAUGAGCACUCAAGGACCGUCAACGUCAUCAGCGUCUUCUCCUUUUUCAACCCCUCGAUGGAAAUUCGAUGUCUUUCUCACUUUUAGAGGCGAGGACACCCGCAAUAGUUUCGCAAGCCUUCUAUAUACUGCUUUGAAACAGAAGGGCGUUUUGGCCUUUAUUGAUGAAAAAAUGGAGAGAGGAAAACAUAUUUUACGAGAGAUCUUCGAAGCAAUAGAAGGAUCGAGGUUUACGAUUGUCAUUUUCUCAAGAAAUUAUGUAUCUUCGGCAUACCACUUGGAAGAGCUUGUCCACAUCGUCGGAUGCAGAGAAAAGACGGGAAUGAGAGUUCUGCCGGUUUUUUAUAACGUUAAUCCAUCUGAUGUGCGGAGGCAAAGUGGAAUUUUUGCAGAAGCUUUUACUAAGCACGAAGAACGGUUUAAGGGGGACAUGGAGAAGGUUCAAAUGUGGAGAGCUGCUUUGACAGAAGUGGCGAAUCUGUCUGGUUGGCAUCUACAAGAUGGGAAUUUGUCAGAAUCAAUCAAAAGCAUUGUAGAAAUCAUAUCACAACAUCUGCGUUCAAGUUUCACAAGCAUUACUCGUAACUUCAUUGGAAUAGAUUCUUCAAUGGAAGAAUUGUUCACUUUCUAUUCAAAUUUUAAGGACAAUGUUUGCAUGAUUGGGAUUUGUGGUAUAGGGGGAUCUGGAAAGACAACUCUUGCUAGAGUUUUCUAUGAAAAUUUUCACAGGUAUUUUGGAGGUUCUUCUUUCAUUGCUAAUGUUAGGGAAUAUUCAGAAAAAUUUGAUUUGCUUCAAUUACAGCAGCUGCUUCUGGCAGAUAUUUUGGAGGAAAAAGAUGCAGAUAUAAGGAAUGUUUAUCACGGAGUUAACAUGAUCAAGAAAAGGCUAUGUCAAAAAAAAGUUCUAAUUGUUCUGGAUGAUGUUAACAAAUUGGACCAACUAGAAAAUUUAGCUGGAGAGCAUGGUUGGUUUGGAUUGGGGAGUUUGAUCAUCAUAACAACUAGAGAUAAACAUUUGUUGGACCAUCAUGGAGUGCAUAAAAUAUAUAAGCCUAAUCCAUUAAACAAUGAUGAUGCUUUAAAACUUUUUUGUUUGAAAGCCUUCAAAAAAGAGCAACCCGAUGAAGGUUAUAUGCAACUAUCCCAGGAUGUUGUUUGCUAUGCUAAUGGGUAUCCAUUAGCUCUAAUAACUUUCGGUUCCUUUUUGCUUGGAAGAACGAUGGAUACAUGGAAAAGUGCAUUAGACAUAUUUAAAAAAUUUCCUAAAAAGGAAAUAUUUGACACACUUAAAGUAAGUUAUGAUGGCCUGGAGGAUAUGUGGAAGGAAAUAUUUCUAGAUGUUGCAUGUUUCUUUAGAGGAAAGAUGAAAGAUCAAGUAAUAGAGAUAUUAGAGACCUGUGGUUUUGACGCAAAAAUCGGAAUACAAGUACUCAUGGAUAAAUCUCUCCUAACCAUAGAAAACGACACAUUGCAGAUGCAUGAUCUACUACAAGAAAUGGAUAAGGAAAUUGUACGUCGAGAAUCACGUGAAGAGCCUGGGAAGCGCAGUAGGUUGUGGCUUCAUAAGGAUUUGUUUCAUGUAUUGAUGAACAAAACGGCAUCAAAAACAAUUCAAGCCAUAGUCCUAGACAAACCUGGAGGGGAUGAGGCAUAUCAGCACAUUGAAUCCUAUUCUGAAGUUUUUUCAAAGAUGUGUAAUCUUAGAUUGCUUAUAAUUGAUAAUGUGCACAUCCUAAAAGGCCUCAAUCAUCUUUCUAACAAAUUAAGACUUCUUGAUUGGCAUGGGUAUUCUUCAAAAUGUUUGCCUUCCAGAUUCCAAUCAAAAGAGCUUGUUGAACUUAAACUGCAGUUUAGCAAAAUUGAAUAUCUUUGGAGAGGUGUAAAGUAUUUAGACAAGUUAAAACUCAUCAAUCUUGGACAUUCCUUAAACCUUAUUAGGACACCCGACUUCACAGGGGUUCCAAGACUUGAGAAACUAUGUCUUAGCGGAUGCAUAAAUUUGGUUGAGAUCCACCCAUCCAUUGGACAACUCAGUAAGCUUACUGUUUUAAAUUUGGAAUUCUGCCGAUCUCUUAUCAACCUUCCGAGCAGCAUGGAUGGUUUAAGGUCUCUUGAAAAACUCAUUCUUUUGGGAUGCUCAAAACUUUCCAACCUGCCAGAAAACUUGGGGAAAAUCAAAUGCUUGAAGGAACUUGAUUUAACUGGAACCGCUAUUCGAGAAGUUCCCUCUUCCAUUGAUAUGUCGUGGAUGUGAAAAGGAAAUUUUUAAGUCAAGGCUUGAUAGUGUUCAUGAUGAAUUUGAAAAUUCAGCAGUAGUAAAAGCUACCAAAAUUAUGAGAACCUAUGAUGACAGUAACGUGGCAGAACAUAGUGCAAGUUGGAGCUUUCCUGGGGAAACUGAACGAGGGGUGGAGGGAAGGAGGGGCAAUUGCCCCCCUGCCUUCUCAAAAAUUCUCAAAUAGUAGUAAUACUGUAUUGUAGUGAAGGGUUAUUUGCCCUUUGAGACGAAGGACAAUCAACUUUUUACUUUGUUAUAUGUUUUAGCUUGUCAACAAGAAGCCAAGUUUUACAUUCACAUGGGAACACUUACAUUAAAUAAUCGAUCCCACCUAAUUUCUGCACAUUACUUUGCCGAAUAGGACUGGAAAAAAAAAUAUUGAAUAGGACUCUGAAAUUAAAAACCAGGCAGUUGGCCUCCUAUUUACAACUUUUUCUCUCGUUAUGAAGCUUUUCAAUCUCAAUCAGAGUUUCUGCUAUGAACCCAAAUUUUAACAACUUAAAAGAGGAAGAUAAAAUGUCUACAUAACAUUUUAAAA